GAUGAACGCUGGCGGCGUGCCUAAUACAUGCAAGUCGAGCGAACGGACGAGAAGCUUGCUUCUCUGAUGUUAGCGGCGGACGGGUGAGUAACACGUGGAUAACCUACCUAUAAGACUGGGAUAACUUCGGGAAACCGUAGCUAAUACCGGAUAAUAUUUUGAACCGCAUGGUUCAAAAGUGAAAGACGGUCUUGCUGUCACUUAUAGAUGGAUCCGCGCUGCAUUAGCUAGUUGGUAAGGUAACGGCUUACCAAGGCAACGAUGCAUAGCCGACCUGAGAGGGUUAUCGGCCACACUGGAACUGAGCCACGGUCCAGACUCCUACGGGAGGCAGCAGUAGGGAAUCUUCCGCAAUGGGCGAAAGCCUGACGGAGCAACGCCGCGUGAGUGACGAAGGUCUUCGGAUCGUAAAACUCUGUUAUUAGGGAAGAACAUAUGUGUAAGUAACUGUGCACAUCUUGACGGUACCUAAUCAGAAAGCCACGGCUAACUACGUG
RNAcentral lists this ribosomal RNA (497 nucleotides) under uncultured bacterium. RNAcentral's name for it is "partial 16S ribosomal RNA". It matches the Rfam family "Bacterial small subunit ribosomal RNA", at positions 28 to 507 of the family's 1533-position model. The record is from RNAcentral.